AACGAACGCUGGCGGCAUGCCUAACACAUGCAAGUCGAACGAGACCUUCGGGUCUAGUGGCGCACGGGUGCGUAACGCGUGGGAACCUGCCUUUAGGUUCGGAAUAACUCAGAGAAAUUUGAGCUAAUACCGGAUGAUGUCUUCGGACCAAAGAUUUAUCGCCUUUAGAUGGGCCCGCGUUGGAUUAGCUAGUUGGUGGGGUAAAGGCCUACCAAGGCGACGAUCCAUAGCUGGUCUGAGAGGAUGAUCAGCCACACUGGGACUGAGACACGGCCCAGACUCCUACGGGAGGCAGCAGUGGGGAAUAUUGGACAAUGGGCGAAAGCCUGAUCCAGCAAUGCCGCGUGAGUGAUGAAGGCCUUAGGGUUGUAAAGCUCGUUUACCCGAGAUGAUAAUGACAGUAUCGGGAGAAUAAGCUCCGGCUAACUCCGUG
Molecule: ribosomal RNA, 433 nt
Filed under: uncultured bacterium
Lineage: Bacteria
Description: partial 16S ribosomal RNA
Rfam family: Bacterial small subunit ribosomal RNA
Source: RNAcentral